This 446-nucleotide ribosomal RNA is filed under the name uncultured bacterium. RNAcentral describes it as "partial 16S ribosomal RNA". It matches the Rfam family "Bacterial small subunit ribosomal RNA", at positions 338 to 795 of the family's 1533-position model. The record is from RNAcentral.
ACUACGGGUGGCAGCAGUCGAGAAUCAUUCACAAUGGGGGAAACCCUGAUGGUGCGACGCCGCGUGGGGGAAUGAAGGUCUUCGGAUUGUAAACCCCUGUCAUGUGGGAGCAAAUUAAAAAGAUAGUACCACAAGAGGAAGAGACGGCUAACUAUGUGCCAGCAGCCGCGGUAAUACAGAGGUAUCAAGCUUUGUUCGGCAUCACUGGGCGUAAAGUGGGCGUAGGCUGUGUCGUAAGUUAUGUGUGAAAGGCGCGGGCUCAACCCGCGGACGGCACAUGAUACUGCGAGACUAGAGUAAUGGAGGGGGAACCGGAAUUCUCGGUGUAGCAGUGAAAUGCGUAGAUAUCGAGAGGAACACUCGUGGCGAAGGCGGGUUCCUGGACAUUAACUGACGCUGAGGCACGAAGGCCAGGGGAGCGAAAGGGAUUAGAUACCCCAGUAGUC